This 253-nucleotide ribosomal RNA is filed under the name uncultured bacterium. RNAcentral describes it as "partial 16S ribosomal RNA". It matches the Rfam family "Bacterial small subunit ribosomal RNA", at positions 524 to 776 of the family's 1533-position model. The record is from RNAcentral.
UACGUAGGUGGCGAGCGUUGUCCGGAUUUACUGGGCGUAAAGAGCGCGCAGGCGGCUGGUCAAGUCCGAUGUGAAAGCUCCCGGCUUAACUGGGAAAUUGCAUCGGAAACUGAUCGGCUGGAAGGUGGGAGAGGGUAGCGGAAUUCCCGGUGUAGUGGUGAAAUGCGUAGAUAUCGGGAGGAACAUCCGUGGCGAAGGCGGCCACCUGGACCAACAUUGACGCUGAGGCACGAAAGCGUGGGGAGCAAACAGG